UGAACUUAAGCAUAUCAAUAAGCGGAGGAAAAGAAACCAACAGGGAUUGCCCUAGUAACGGCGAGUGAAGCGGCAAUAGCUCAAAUUUGAAAGCUGGCCUUCUGGUCCGCAUUGUAAUUUGUAGAGGAUGCUUUUAGGCAGCCGCCGGUCUAAGUUCCUUGGAACAGGACGUCAUAGAGGGUGAGAAUCCCGUAUGUGACCGGCUCUGGCACCUUAUGUAAAGCUCCUUCGACGAGUCGAGUUGUUUGGGAAUGCAGCUCUAAAUGGGAGGUAAAUUUCUUCUAAAGCUAAAUACUGGCGAGAGACCGAUAGCGCACAAGUAGAGUGAUCGAAAGAUGAAAAGCACUUUGGAAAGAGAGUUAAAAAGCACGUGAAAUUGUUGAAAGGGAAGCGCUUGCAAUCAGACUUGGACUUGGCUGUUCAACCGGUCUUCUGACCGGCCUACUCAGUCUUGUCCAGGCCAGCAUCAGUUUCGGCGGCCGGAUAAAGGCCCUGGGAAUGUAGCUGUCCUUCACGGGACAGUGUUAUAGCCCAGGGUGUAAUACGGCCAGCCGGGACUGAGGUCCGCGCUUCGGCUAGGAUGCUGGCGUAAUGGUUGUAAGCGGCCCGUCUUGAAACACGGACCAAGGAGUCUAACAUCUAUGCGAGUGUUAGGGUGUCAAACCCUUACGCGUAAUGAAAGUGAACGGAGGUGGGAACCCGCAAGGGUGCACCAUCGACCGAUCCUGAUGUCUUCGGAUGGAUUUGAGUAAGAGCAUAGCUGUUGGGACCCGAAAGAUGGUGAACUAUGCCUGAAUAGGGUGAAGCCAGAGGAAACUCUGGUGGAGGCUCGCAGCGGUUCUGACGUGCAAAUCGAUCGUCAAAUUUGGGUAUAGGGGCGAAAGACUAAUCGAACCAUCUAGUAGCUGGUUCCUGC
RNAcentral lists this ribosomal RNA (916 nucleotides) under Dothiora pyrenophora. RNAcentral's name for it is "eukaryotic LSU rRNA". It matches the Rfam family "Eukaryotic large subunit ribosomal RNA", at positions 29 to 961 of the family's 3401-position model. The record is from RNAcentral. Lineage: Eukaryota; Fungi; Ascomycota; Dothideomycetes; Dothideales; Dothioraceae.